Molecule: long non-coding RNA, 465 nt
Organism: Pogoniulus pusillus (Red-fronted tinkerbird)
Lineage: Eukaryota; Metazoa; Chordata; Aves; Piciformes; Lybiidae
Exons: 3
Source: RefSeq, a predicted model, not a curated record
UGGAGAUCAGGUGCUGGUACACAGGGAAGCAGGAGGACAAGGGGCUCAGGUCACAGCUGGAUCACUCACUGGGGAAGUUCUGCUAGCAUGCCUCAGGCAUGAACGCAACACAGCAGCCUGCAGCACAAAGAGCUUGGGAAACAAACAUAAUGUAAAGCCGUCCCUGGUUUUACACCUCAGUGCACCUUUUGAGCAAGAAACCUGAAAUACCACCAGACCAUAUGAGGAUCAUACACACUGCUCACUGUUCAAAGAAGAGAAAUGGCUGUUUACGUUGCCGUUCUGCUGCUAGGGAAGUGAAACUGGGAAGGUUGUCACACCAUCCUGAUGAUAAACCCCAAACACUUCCAUUUUCAAAGCCUAUCAGAGUUGGUCUGAUUAUCUUCUCUGAAGAAAGACCCCAGAACUACAUUUAAGCCUCAUCUUUCAGGUACACAAGAGAGGCUGGAUUGCCUUUUAAUACAC